CAGCAACCAGAGGAAGAAGAUCGACUCAGCAUGCUGACGGAUGACAUUUUACUGUCCAUCUUGGGGAGAAUCGAUCUAAGAACAGCUGCCAGGAUGAGUGCGUUGUCUACACGGUGGAGGUGCCUUCCUUGGUUGCUGCCAGAGCUCCGCAUUGAUGCCAAAAAUUUCCUAUCUAAGCCUAUCGAGGAGAAGGAUAUGGAUGAAGCAAUGACGUUUCUAACUAUGGCAACUCGGAGCUUCCUCGUUAACCGACAUGGAGAGUCCAGCAUCUCAACUUUGAAACUAAAGAUCUACCUGAUCAAGAAUUUCUUGUGCGAAAUCGGUCAACUGGUAGAUGAUGCAGUUGACAGUGGUUUGUUGAAAGAAUUACAUCUCGCUAUUCUUGAUAUUUGGGAGAGGAACUCUGGUGAGGAGUAUAUGCAACAGCGAGCCCGACAAAUAGAUGGUUUUUUCAGUGCCUACCCUAUUGUGCUCCAUUACCUCACAAGGCUCUCCCUAUACAAUGUACGCAUUGACAAAUUGGAUGCGCACCAUCUCCUGUUUGAUUGCUGCAAGCAACUUGGGCAUCUAAGCCUCUUUUGGUGCGAUACUGGUGCUGGUUCCCUGUCUAAGAUUGAUGCACCAAAUUCAAAACUCCGUGUUCUCAAAAUCAUCAAUUGUGCUUUUGAGAGACUUGAAUUGGUCUGCCUUCCAAAAUUAGAGAAGUUCAUUUGGGAUAAUUGGUUGCCUUACUGUGUGCCAUGGGCCGCCUUUGGUUUUGUCCCGUUGCUUGGAGAGCUGGUACUCUCACGUGAUGCGGUAUGUGGUCAACGCGAGUUUAAAUUAAGCGAGGUUCUACGUGGAACAACUUGCAUACAUACUCUCUCAUUGGAUUUCAAAGGGGAAAAUCUUUGGAUUCAACCUGAAAUGAAGCAACUCCUCCCCGAAUUCAGUAAGCUAAGAAAGUUAUCCGUAAGUGGUAUCUUUGUUGAAUUCGACCUUUUAUGGACGACAAUGUUUCUUGUGGCGGCACCAUGCAUCGAAAUAUUACAUAUUGAGGAGCUAGAAUUUACUGGAUUUAGGUCACUAGAACAUCAAUUUACAUUUAUAAGAGCCAUGCUAGAGCGAGCUCCCAACUUGCAGCUGGUAGUUCUGAAUGGAGACGAGCAAUGUGACGACUGUGAUGCCCUUGAUACACCACAGUGUCCUUCGAAAUUUCGAAAGAAGGAUGAGCAAGAAAUGGUGGUUAGACGAAUUCAAGAUGGCAAAUUCUCGCCGCAGAUAGUUUUUGAUGAAUAA
This 1278-nucleotide ribosomal RNA is filed under the name Triticum aestivum (bread wheat). RNAcentral describes it as "partial small subunit ribosomal RNA". The record is from RNAcentral. Lineage: Eukaryota; Viridiplantae; Streptophyta; Magnoliopsida; Poales; Poaceae.